Molecule: unclassified non-coding RNA, 314 nt
Filed under: Hevea brasiliensis (rubber tree)
Lineage: Eukaryota; Viridiplantae; Streptophyta; Magnoliopsida; Malpighiales; Euphorbiaceae
Source: RNAcentral
AUCAGUUCCAAGAAGGUACGCUCUACUUAUUCUUGAUGUAAAUUUACAGUUGUGAAUGAAUGUAAAGUAAUUACUAAUUAAUUCCCCACACACAUACACUACUAAUGUUUUAAGCUGAGAAAGGUGAAAUUAAACCAAGAAUUUAUACAUAAUUCCAUGUUUCAGAAACAUGUGAAAACAAUAAAUUAUAUAUCUUUUGAGCUAGGAUCUUAUUUUUCUUUCUUUAAAAAAAAAUAUCAGUUAUUUUCAAGCAAUUAGUAUGGAGGUGGAAUCAAUAUGUUAUCUAUGGCGGAGGUUCUUGGGCACUUAUUUCA